This 496-nucleotide ribosomal RNA is filed under the name uncultured bacterium. RNAcentral's name for it is "partial 16S ribosomal RNA". It matches the Rfam family "Bacterial small subunit ribosomal RNA", at positions 28 to 506 of the family's 1533-position model. The record is from RNAcentral.
GAUGAACGCUGGCGGCGUGCCUAAUACAUGCAAGUCGAGCGAACGGACGAGAAGCUUGCUUCUCUGAUGUUAGCGGCGGACGGGUGAGUAACACGUGGAUAACCUACCUAUAAGACUGGGAUAACUUCGGGAAACCGGAGCUAAUACCGGAUAAUAUUUUGAACCGCAUGGUUCAAAAGUGAAAGACGGUCUUGCUGUCACUUAUAGAUGGAUCCGCGCUGCAUUAGCUAGUUGGUAAGUUAACGGCUUACCAAGGCAACGAUGCAUAGCCGACCUGAGAGCGGGGUGGGGCACUGAGAGGCUGACAUGCGGACCAGGCUCCUGCGGGAGGCAGCAGCACCUACUGUGGCGAGAAGGGCGAAAGCCUGAACGAGCCACGGAGCGGGGAUGAUGCAGGUCUUCGGUUCGUAAAACUCUGUUAUGAGGGAAGAACAUAUGUGCCAGUAACUGUGCGCAACUUGACGGAACAGAAUCAGAAGGACCCGCUUACCUCCGU